RNAcentral lists this transfer RNA (75 nucleotides) under Planctomycetia bacterium. Its description in RNAcentral is "tRNA-Ser". The record is from RNAcentral. Lineage: Bacteria; Pseudomonadati; Planctomycetota; Planctomycetia.
GCGGAGUUGGCGAGGCCGCGCAGGGCGAGUUGCUGUUUCGCCGGACUGCCCAUGAUCGAGACAUGGAUCGUCGCG